RNAcentral lists this small RNA (1340 nucleotides) under Pongo abelii (Sumatran orangutan). RNAcentral's name for it is "processed transcript". The record is from RNAcentral. Lineage: Eukaryota; Metazoa; Chordata; Mammalia; Primates; Hominidae.
AUGGCUUGGGCCGCGCUCCUCGGCCUCCUGGCCGCGCUGUUGCUGCUGCUGCUACUGAGCCGCCGCCGCACGCGGCGACCCGGUGAGCCUCCCCUGGACCUGGGCAGCAUCCCCUGGUUGGGCUAUGCCUUGGACUUUGGAAAAGAUGCCGCCAGCUUCCUCACGAGGAUGAAGGAGAAGCACGGUGACAUCUUUACUGACUCUCCUCCACAGAGAGCUCCAGGCGCUCACAGAAGCCAUGUAUACCAACCUCCACACAGUGCUGUUGGGCGAUGCUACGGAAGCAGGCAGUGGCUGGCACGAGAUGGGUCUCCUCGACUUCUCCUACAGCUUCCUGCUCAGAGCCGGCUACCUGACUCUUUACGGAAUUGAGGCGCUGCCACGCACCCAUCAAAGCCAGGCCCAGGACCGCGUCCACUCAGCUGAUGUCUUCCACACCUUUCGCCAGCUCGACCGGCUGCUCCCCAAACUGGCCCGUGGCUCCCUGUCAGUGGGGGACAAGGACCACAUGUGCAGUGUCAAAAGUCGCCUGUGGAAGCUGCUGUCCCCAGCCAGGCUGGCCACGAGGGCCCACCGGAGCAAAUGGCUGGAGAGUUACCUGCUGCACCUGGAGGAGAUGGGUGUGUCAGAGGAGAUGCAGGCACGGGCCCUGGUGCUGCAGCUGUGGGCCACACAGGGGAAUAUGGGUCCUGCUGCCUUCUGGCUCCUGCUCUUCCUUCUCAAGAAUCCUGAAGCCCUGGCUGCUGUCCGUGGAGAGCUCGAGAGUAUCCUUUGGCAAGCAGAGCAGCCUGUCUCGCAGAUGACCACUCUCCCACAGAAGGUUCUAGACAGCACGCCUGUGCUUGACAGCGUGCUGAGUGAGAGCCUCAGGCUUACAGCUGCCCCCUUCAUCACCCGCGAGGUUGUGGUGGACCUGGCCAUGCCCAUGGCAGACGGGCGAGAAUUCAACCUGCGACGUGGUGAUCGCCUCCUCCUCUUCCCCUUCCUGAGCCCCCAGAGAGACCCAGAAAUCUACACAGACCCAGAGGUAUUUAAAUACAACCGAUUCCUGAACCCUGACGGAUCAGAGAAGAAAGACUUUUACAAGGAUGGGAAACGGCUGAAGAAUUACAACAUGCCCUGGGGGGCGGGGCACAAUCACUGCUUGGGGAGGAGUUAUGCCGUCAACAGCAUCAAACAAUUUGUGUUCCUCGUGCUGGUGCACUUGGACCUGGAGCUGAUCAGCGCAGAUGUGGAGAUCCCUGAGUUUGACCUCAGCAGGUAUGGCUUCGGUCUGAUGCAGCCGGAACACGACGUGCCUGUCCGCUACCGCAUCCGCCCAUGACACAGGGAGCAGAUGU